RNAcentral lists this ribosomal RNA (253 nucleotides) under uncultured bacterium. RNAcentral's name for it is "partial 16S ribosomal RNA". It matches the Rfam family "Bacterial small subunit ribosomal RNA", at positions 524 to 776 of the family's 1533-position model. The record is from RNAcentral.
UACGUAGGGAGCAAGCGUUGUCCGGAAUCAUUGGGCGUAAAGAGCGCGUAGGCGGUUCGUCGCGUCGGCUGUGAAAACCCGGAGCUCAACUCCGGGCCUGCAGUCGAUACGGGCGGACUUGAGUGUUGCAGGGGAGACUGGAAUUCCUGGUGUAGCGGUGAAAUGCGCAGAUAUCAGGAGGAACACCGGUGGCGAAGGCGGGUCUCUGGGCAACUACUGACGCUGAGGAGCGAAAGCGUGGGGAGCGAACAGG